UUUCUUUGAUUAGCGGCAGUUCCUCUGACGGGGGAGCGCUCGUCUUCAGGACGGAAAUGAAAAGAGCGACUCGGGGGGUGAAGAAAGACUCUUACACAUCUGCUGUGCUACUGCUGUUAUCAUCCAUGACUGUGUAUGGAGGGAUUCUGACCUGACAACUGAACAUUACUAAUUAAACUACAAACAACAAUCAAAACAAAAUCCUUACUCAAGAAAAAAUAUUAAACUUACUUAAACACGAAUCGAAACAAAAAAUACUUCACAUCACCCCCCAUGACGUGGCGAGGAAUGGUACGGUCCAAUUUGGCCCCCUCCCCUAUAAAACAGCUCUCGCUCCAAGUGUCUCCAGCCGAAAGCAAAGGAACCGUUCCAGGAGCGUGGAACUGCAAGACACUGUGAGACCUGGAGCUUCGGCUGCUCUGGUUCCAGCCUCUGACUUGAGAUGACGCGACUAAGUGUCCGCACAGGAAAUGAUGAAGGCCGGUGAUGAGGCGGUGAGGCGGAAAGAGAUGAUUUUAAUUUAUUAAACUGACGAUUAAAGCUGCUUCCUUUCACUUCACCUCACCCAGAAAUCCUGUGACGCAGAGUCACGCAGCGACGCAGGACUCUGGAUGACUGGUGUGUGUGUGUGUGUGUGUGUGUGUGUGUCCUCGCUGACUGCAGGUUUAAUGGUGAAGUGGAGCAGUGAUGAACAUGCUGUGGCGAACAGCUGGCUGGAGAAAAAACCGUCCAGCGGCAGACAGAAGUUACAGGUGUGACCUUGGCGUGUGCAGAUUUACUCAUCAGAGGACGGACUCUGCAGCUGGAGCGUGUGGACCAGCGGCCUCACGGGGCCGAGCGGAGCCGGAGGUCCGAACCCGAGUCCUAACGUCUCCCAGAGACAAACCUGCACUGUGAAGACGUCUGCAGCUUUUACCGAUCUUUAUUUAUGAUUUUUAUUUACACCGGCUUCAUAUUGUUUUUCUCAUCCAUAAACCAUAAUACAGACCAAGUUCACAAUCUA
Molecule: long non-coding RNA, 1003 nt
Organism: Scophthalmus maximus (turbot)
Lineage: Eukaryota; Metazoa; Chordata; Actinopteri; Pleuronectiformes; Scophthalmidae
Exons: 2
Source: RefSeq, a predicted model, not a curated record